This is a long non-coding RNA of Suricata suricatta (meerkat), 568 nucleotides long. RefSeq lists it as uncharacterized. The record is from RefSeq and is a predicted model, not a curated record. The transcript is spliced from 2 exons. NCBI's taxonomy places the organism in Eukaryota, Metazoa, Chordata, Mammalia, Carnivora, Herpestidae.
CAAGGCACAGGGGGAGAAGUGUAACUUUGCCUACAUCACGCCCUUCCAGGCUUCUGUAGCGUGUCACACUACUUCCCAGAAGACAGAGAUGCACAAAAAGCAUGAGUAAUGUUUAAGAGAAAGGCUCAGGAAGGGAUAGGGAAGGAAGCAAGCAGGUGGCAAGAAGAUGAGUAAGCGGAGGCCAGAGGCUGGUGAGGCCGGGGAGGCUUGGAGGCGCAUCUGCACCGCAGUAGGGGGUUGGGGGUGGGGUGGACCUCCACUUCACCCGGAAGCUGCCAGGCCUUGGAAGGGACCACAUGUGGGCACAUGCCUAACAGUCCACCAGCUACAAUAACUGGGGCAGAUCAAGUUGUUCUUCUGCUUUAAGAGUCUGAAAGUCCACAGAGAAGCAACAUGAAUGAAGAGGAAAAAAAGGAAACAGGAAGCAGGCAGACAGAAACCAGAGGAAUUACUGCCAUGGAACUCAAUUUAUCACAAAAACUGGUUAAAAAAAAAAAGUUCGAUAUUUGAAAAACCAUUCAGACUCUCUGAGAUUUGGCUUCUUAUAAAAAGAGAUCUUGGAUUUUAA